This 1577-nucleotide ribosomal RNA is filed under the name metagenome. RNAcentral's name for it is "bacterial LSU rRNA". It matches the Rfam family "Bacterial large subunit ribosomal RNA", at positions 1306 to 2875 of the family's 2925-position model. The record is from RNAcentral.
UUAGCGAUAAAGGGUGUGAAAAGCACCCUCGCCGAAAGCCCAAGGUUUCCUACGCAACGUUCAUCGGCGUAGGGUGAGUCGGCCCCUAAGGCGAGGCAGAAAUGCGUAGUCGAUGGGAAACAGGUGAAUAUUCCUGUACCGGUUAUUACUGCGAUGGGGGGACGGAGAAGGUUAGGCCAGCCAGGCUUUGGAUGUCCUGGUUCAAGCGUCCAGUCGUGGUCUCUAGGCAAAUCCGGAGAUCUUAGAUGAGGCGUGAUAACGAGUCUGCUUGCAGACGAAGUGGUUGAUACCCUGCUUCCAGGAAAAGCCUCUAAGCUUCAGGUAAUAAUCGACCGUACCGCAAACCGACACAGGUGGGCAGGUUGAAAAUACCAAGGCGCUUGAGAGAACUCAGGAGAAGGAACUCGGCAAAUUGAUACCGUAACUUCGGGAGAAGGUAUGCCCCGGUAGCUUGUAGUCGUACAGACGAAGGGCGAUGGGGCCGCAGAGAAUCGGUGGCUGCGACUGUUUAAUAAAAACACAGCACUCUGCAAACACGAAAGUGGACGUAUAGGGUGUGACGCCUGCCCGGUGCCGGAAGGUUAAUUGAUGGGGUGCAAGCUCUUGAUCGAAGCCCCGGUAAACGGCGGCCGUAACAAUAACGGUCCUAAGGUAGCGAAAUUCCUUGUCGGGUAAGUUCCGACCUGCACGAAUGGCGUAACGAUGGCCACACUGUCUCCUCCUGAGACUCAGCGAAGUUGAAAUGUUUGUGAAGAUGCAAUCUCCCCGCGGCUAGACGGAAAGACCCCAUGAACCUUUACUGUAGCUUUACAUUGGACUUUGACGGGACUUGUGUAGGAUAGGUGGGAGGCUUUGAAGCCGGGACGCUAGUUCCGGUGGAGCCAACCUUGAAAUACCACCCUGGUGUCGUUGAGGUUCUAACCUUGAUCCGUGAAUCCGGAUCGGGGACCGUGUAUGGUGGGCAGUUUGACUGGGGCGGUCUCCUCCCAAAGAGUAACGGAGGAGUACGAAGGUCUUCUAGGUACGGUCGGACAUCGUACUGAUAGUGCAAUGGCAAAAGAAGGCUUGACUGCGAGACCCACAAGUCGAGCAGGUGCGAAAGCAGGUCAUAGUGAUCCGGUGGUUCUGUAUGGAAGGGCCAUCGCUCAACGGAUAAAAGGUACUCUGGGGAUAACAGGCUGAUUCCGCCCAAGAGUUCACAUCGACGGCGGAGUUUGGCACCUCGAUGUCGGCUCAUCACAUCCUGGGGCUGUAGCCGGUCCCAAGGGUAUGGCUGUUCGCCAUUUAAAGUGGUACGUGAGCUGGGUUUAAAACGUCGUGAGACAGUUUGGUCCCUAUCUGCCGUGGGCGUUGGAAGUUUGAGGGGACCUGCUCCUAGUACGAGAGGACCGGAGUGGACAGAUCUCUGGUGUACCGGUUGUCACGCCAGUGGCAUCGCCGGGUAGCUAAAUCUGGAAGAGAUAACCGCUGAAAGCAUCUAAGCGGGAAACUCGCCUCAAGAUGAGACUUCCCUGGGGAUUCGAUCCCCCUGAAGGGUCGUUCAAGACCAGGACGUUGAUAGGUCAGGUGUGGAAGCG